AUCAACUAAAUCAAAUAGAAAAUUUAAUUUUUUUAAUUUUAGAUCGAACUGAACCAAGUUUAUUGGUUCAACUCAGUUAUUCGAUUUAUACAAAAAUGUGCAUAAAAUCCACUUUCUAUUUUUACUCUACACAGUCUGCCCCAAAAGAUCCAUAUUAAGAUGUCAAUUUCCUAUGUACAACUAGUGCAUUUUGUAAAUGGCAUAAUUUUUUAUUUUUUAAUUAAAUAAUUUUAUUUAGUUAGAAAUUAAUUUUUCUAAGGCCAAACCCAUACUAAGGUCCCUGUAUUAUACGACUUUUGUUCAAGAGGCCCUUAUCUCGAAAAACUUAUCUAUGUGGUCCCUUUACUUUAUUAUUUCGCGAUUUUAAUACCCUUAUCUGGACGGAAUGCAGCAAGUGUGAUUCACUUGCCGUUAAUGAGAGAGUGAAAAAAAAAUAUAUUCAACUUUUUUUAUAUUUUGUCACAUCAGAUUUACAACAACCACUAAUAUAUCAACAUGUGUCUCAUUAAUUAUGUAAAAAUUAAAUAACAAAAACCUAACCCUAAUUAAGUAAUUAUUUAAUUAUAUUUACUAUCCCACCAUCAACCUUUAUUUGCUUCCAUCUUACCCGUUGUAACCCAACAAACCAUCAUAGCUUGUCUUCCACUACCAUCUCCGGUACUGUCAUGAGCACCACCACUACCGAAAAAUAGAUGUCCCUUCAGCGCCUCUGCCGUAGUGACCCCUGCCGCCUCGUCUUCUGCUUUCGUUGUUUCUAUCUCGACCUCUCCGCCUCUGCCGUAUUUACCCAUGGCCGGAAGAGCCGGAAGAGACGACCAUCGAUGUAAUGGUCGGGCUUCUCAAGGGAUGUGAAUGGAAGACGGAAUAAAGCAACAGAUACAUUGAGUCACGGCGGCAACGAAAGUGCAAUGGCGGUGGAAGUUGAAGCGCGGUUCGGGUGAUGCAGUAACGGUGCCAAUCAUCAAAAGACCGAGAAGUCAUAUCCUCGGCAUUUCGUCUUCUAAUAAUGUGACAUCUCCGGCCAGUCUUGGGGUUGCGGUGUUGUUCAAAACUGAGAUUUGGAGAAAAUGAAUAAAACAGAAGUUUUGGAGAAGAUGGUAAAAUAGCCAGUUUACCCCCACAAUUUGUUUCUUUUAUAAAGAGAAUAGUGAUAUGGCAUUACGUGGUUUUUUUAUACAGACAAUAUUUUUAAUUAACAGUCAUUUAGGUUAGUUAACGGAAAUUUUUGUUAGUUAAUGGCAAGUGAGAUACACUUGCCAGUUAAGGGUAUUAAAAUCGCGAAAUAAUAAAGUAAAGGGACCACAUAGAUAAGUUUUUCAAGAUAAGGGCCUUUUGAACAAAAAUCGUAUAGUACAGGGGCUUUAGUAUGGGUUUGGCCUUUUUCUAAAUGUUUGUAAAAUAAAAAAAAUCUGUGGUAUAAUUAUUUUUUUUAUUAAA
Long non-coding RNA from Mercurialis annua (annual mercury), 1437 nucleotides. RefSeq lists it as uncharacterized. The record is from RefSeq and is a predicted model, not a curated record. Lineage: Eukaryota; Viridiplantae; Streptophyta; Magnoliopsida; Malpighiales; Euphorbiaceae. The transcript has 2 exons.